UCCGUUCGGCGGAAGCGUCGUU
RNAcentral lists this small nuclear RNA (22 nucleotides) under Arabidopsis thaliana (thale cress). RNAcentral's name for it is "snRNA_16737". The record is from RNAcentral. Lineage: Eukaryota; Viridiplantae; Streptophyta; Magnoliopsida; Brassicales; Brassicaceae.